CUACGGGGGGCUGCAGUGGGGAAUAUUGCACAAUGGAGGAAACUCUGAUGCAGCAACGCCGCGUGGAGGAUGACACUUUUCGGAGCGUAAACUCCUUUUAUAUAGGAAGAAGAUGACGGUACUAUAUGAAUAAGCGCCGGCUAACUCCGUGCCAGCAGCCGCGGUAAUACGGAGGGCGCAAGCGUUACUCGGAAUCACUGGGCGUAAAGAGCGUGUAGGCGGAUUAAAAAGUCAGAAGUGAAACCCUAUAGCUUAACUAUAGAACUGCUUCUGAAACUCUUAAUCUAGAAUAUGGGAGAGGUAGAUGGAAUUUCUGGUGUAGGGGUAAAAUCCGUAGAGAUCAGAAGGAAUACCGAUUGCGAAGGCGAUCUACUAGAACAUUAUUGACGCUGUGACGCGAAAGCGUGGGGAGCAAACAGGAUUAGAUACCCGAGUAGUC
RNAcentral lists this ribosomal RNA (439 nucleotides) under uncultured bacterium. Its description in RNAcentral is "partial 16S ribosomal RNA". It matches the Rfam family "Bacterial small subunit ribosomal RNA", at positions 339 to 795 of the family's 1533-position model. The record is from RNAcentral.